Molecule: long non-coding RNA, 696 nt
Organism: Panicum virgatum (switchgrass)
Lineage: Eukaryota; Viridiplantae; Streptophyta; Magnoliopsida; Poales; Poaceae
Exons: 2
Source: RefSeq, a predicted model, not a curated record
AGGCAAAAUUUGCCACAAGACACCGUUAAAAGGCCAUUUUCAGUGCUCAAAUCACUAUGAAAGCUCUUGAUUAGUCAUUGUGAAAUGGGGGCUGGGAUCUUUGGUAAAUGGAGAUCCAGGGAGCCGACUGUGAACCUUGGGUUUCGGCGUGUACCUGGUUUAGUGAAUUGUCUGGAGACCUUCAGGCUUCAGCGGCGCUCCGCACGGGGCCUCGGGGUGGCCAUCCUCGUCGGCUGUGCGCGCCUGCCGCUUCUUGGCUGCCCCGGCCUCGCGCUCCAGCGGAGCCACUCGUCCUCGCGGCGGCACGCUAGCUCACGCGUGCGGCUAGCUGCUGCUGCUCGAGCUCGGCGAUGUGGCGGUGAGAUGCACACCGGGGAAGGCUUGUCGCAAAGGGCCCCUACCACGCGCGGCCGUCGUCGGGGAGGGGCUGCGCGCUGGAGGAAUCGGCGCCGCUAGCUCCGUUCGCGAACUUCUCUGCGAUGCGAUAGUUUCUGGAGAAAGAAAAUGGCAUGCGGGAGAAGAUAAGGUAGGAGGGGCAAACUAGUCAUUUCCCGUGGCUCUUGAAUUAAAUCAGAUAGAAUAAUUCAUGAAGUGUCCUGUGCCAAAUGUACAAGAUUUAUCAGUGUCUCCCAGCAGUGACAAAAUUUUUUAGUGGUUUAUAGCAAAGUUCACCUUUUAACGGUGUCUUGUGGCAAA